RNAcentral lists this ribosomal RNA (308 nucleotides) under Paenibacillus xylanilyticus. RNAcentral's name for it is "partial 23S ribosomal RNA". It matches the Rfam family "Bacterial large subunit ribosomal RNA", at positions 126 to 426 of the family's 2925-position model. The record is from RNAcentral. Lineage: Bacteria; Bacillati; Bacillota; Bacilli; Caryophanales; Paenibacillaceae.
ACCCAGCUGGGGUAAUUUCCAGUUACUCAUAACUGAAUACAUAGGUUAUGUAGAGGCAUACCAGGGGAACUGAAACAUCUAAGUACCUUGAGGAAGAGAAAACAAUAGUGAUUCCGUCAGUAGCGGCGAGCGAACGCGGAACAGCCCAAACCAGAGAGCUUGCUCUUUGGGGUUGUGGGACGUCUCACAUGGAGUUACAAAGGAACCGGUUAAACGAAGAGGUCUGGAAAGGCCCGCCAAAGAAGGUAAAAGCCCUGUAAUUGAAAGUCUGUUCCCUCCGAGACGGAUCCCGAGUAGUGCGGGGCACG